CCUACGGGGAGCAGCAGUGGGGAAUAUUGCACAAUGGGGGAAACCCUGAUGCAGCGACGCCGCGUGAGUGAAGAAGUAAUUCGUUAUGUAAAGCUCUAUCAGCAGGGAAGAAAAUGACGGUACCUGAGUAAGAAGCCCCGGCUAAAUACGUGCCAGCAUCCGCGGUAAUACGUUGGGGGCAAGCGUUAUCCGGAUUUACUGGGUGUAAAGGGAGCGUAGGCGGCAGUGCAAGUCUGGAGUGCAAGGCGGGGGGUCAACCCCCGGACUGCUGUGGAAACUGUACGGCUGGAGUGCAGGAGAGGUAAGUGGAAUGCGUGGUGUAGCGGUGAAAUGCAUAGAUAUUAGGAAGAACACCGGUGGCGAAGGCAGCUUACUGGACUGUAACUGACGUUGAGGCUCGAAAGCGUGGGGAGCGAACAGGAUUAGAUACCCCAGUAGUC
Molecule: ribosomal RNA, 440 nt
Filed under: uncultured bacterium
Lineage: Bacteria
Description: partial 16S ribosomal RNA
Rfam family: Bacterial small subunit ribosomal RNA
Source: RNAcentral